UCCCUAGCCCCUGGCUCUACCCCCUCCAUGUGAGCUGACUAGCAGACACUCUGGGCCCUACUAUGUUUAAUGGUACAGCAGAGUUCUGACUACCAAGGUUUUCCCUGUGGAGCCGCUAAGCAGCUUAAAUGGAAGGGAUGUUUCCUUUCUCCUCGUGGGAUAUUUCCUGUAUCCUGCCCAGUGUGUGUGUGUGUGUGUGUGGAUGAGUUAAUUUUGAAUCGCUUUGUGUCCCGGGUGGGUGGAGAUUUCCCUUUUAGAAGCAAUGUAACGGUCUAAAACUGAGCACCACUUGCCCAGUGUGUGUACUCUGAGACCAGGGAGGGCUGACAUGAAACGUGUUCAUGUUGAGAGGACAGAGGGAGGCUGGGGCGUGUGUGUACUUUUCCAGAGCUCUACCUCCCACACCCUGCAUACUUCACACACACACACGUACCCUCAGGUGGUGUUCCAGGUACCCUGGCUUCAUUUGCAUGUCCUGAUAGCAUCAGUAGAACAGUCCUGAACAUAACUAUAUCUGCUGUACCCAGAUCAAUGCUCAUCUACCCCACAAUCAACAUCAACAUAAUUCUGCUGCCUGCCACACAAUGAUACAGCUCUCACUGCAUGUCUGUCACAUCAUGAUCUCUGCUUCCACAUAAUAACCCUGCCUGCCCCAGUCAGCACUGAUCCCCACACUGAUCAGUCUCAGUUUAGUCACGGCCCUCCAACAGCCACACACACCCUACCUAACCCCCGGGCCAUAGUUAGAAUGACUGAUGUCUAGGGUGGGGGGGGGUGGGUCUGUAUAAUGGCUGAGAGGUGUUGUUGAAUGCUGUAGUUUCCUUCACUUCAUGCUUCGCUAGUCAGGCUCACAGUGUUCACCUCUAAAAAGACCUGGGGGUAUGUCACAAAGCAGGAACAAAGUAGGACUGCUGUAAUAGGAUCAGUUUAGCCUUUUAGGUCAUAAUGACCCCUACAGAUCAGACUUUUUCAAACCUCUCCUCUAACGGCCCUAAACUAGCACACCGGUUUUACCUGGUCGAGGGCUUGAUGAUAAGUUAACUAGUUGAUUCGGGUGUGCUAGUUCUGGAAUAGUUCAAAUACAUGGAAUAUCUGGGGGUCUCUGAGAAAAGCUUUGAGAAGGGUUGAUACAGAUUUUAAAUAAAUAAGAUUAUAUGGACGGGGGGGAGACUUUUUAAAUAUGGGCCCUGGGCAUUGUCUUGGACAAGGGUUUAGUAACAAUAAAGAAGCAUUUUCAAUCAGCUUUACGCUUACCUGGUUCUUUCUGUAAUUAGAGUGUGUGUGUGUGUGUGUGUGUUACCAGUAUCGAUACUGGUAUCACAAUACUACAAUACCAAAACAAGCACAAAGCAGACUUCACCCUGUGGUGCUGUUGUACAACAGUGUGUGCUAUUGAUUGCAAAAUAAACAAAUGUGACUCAGUGACAACAUAAGGCUGUUGUUUUUUCAACAUUAGGACUGUUUUCCUCAAGUAAUUAAGUCUGCUUCAUUUUUCCUUUCCUUCCUUACUUCCUAGUAUCGCAGUACUGGUAUCUUGAUAACCCUAAUUUAAGGUGUAUGUGUGUGUUGUGUGUCUCCUGGCUAGCUGAUGUACAUUUGUGGGUAAUAUAAUAGCCUGUGUAUGGUAUGUAAAGGUGUGUGUUGUGGGUCAAUAUAAUAGUCUGUGUAUGGUAUGUAAAGGUGUGUGUUGUGGGUCAAUAUAAUAGCCUGUGUAUGGUAUGUAAAGGUGUGUGUUGUGGGUCAAUAUAAUAGCCUGUGUAGGUGUGUGUUGUGGGUCAAUAUAAUAGCCUGUGUAAGGUGUGUGUUGUGGGUCAAUAUAAUAGCCUGUGUAUGGUAUGUAAAGGUGUGUGUUGUGGGUCAAUAUAAUAGCCUGUGUAUGGUAUGUAAAGGUGUGUGUUGUGGGUCAAUAUAAUAGCCUGUGUAUGGUAUGUAAAGGUGUGUGUUGUGGGUCAAUAUAAUAGCCUGUGUAUGGUAUGUAAAGGUGUGUGUUGUGGGUCAAUAUAAUAGCCUGUGUAUGGUAUGUAAAGGUGUGUGUUGUGGGUCAAUAUAAUAGUCUGUGUAUGGUAUGUAAAGGUGUGUGUUGUGGGUCAAUAUAAUAGUCUGUGUAUGGUAUGUAAAGGUGUGUGUUGUGGGUCAAUAUAAUAGCCUGUGUAUGGUAUGUAAAGGUGUGUGUUGUGGGUCAAUAUAAUAGCCUGUGUAUGGUAUGUAAAGGUGUGUGUUGUGGGUCAAUAUAAUAGCCUGUGUAAGGUGUGUGUUGUGGGUCAAUAUAAUAGUCUGUGUAUGGUAUGUAAAGGUGUGUGUUGUGGGUCAAUAUAAUAGCCUGUGUAAGGUGUGUGUUGUGGGUCAAUAUAAUAGUCUGUGUAUGGUAUGUAAAGGUGUGUGUUGUGGGUCAAUAUAAUUGUGUGUGUGUGUGCGUUUUCUC
Oncorhynchus tshawytscha (Chinook salmon) is the source of this 2422-nucleotide long non-coding RNA. RefSeq lists it as uncharacterized. The transcript has 3 exons. The record is from RefSeq and is a predicted model, not a curated record. Lineage: Eukaryota; Metazoa; Chordata; Actinopteri; Salmoniformes; Salmonidae.